RNAcentral lists this ribosomal RNA (470 nucleotides) under uncultured bacterium. RNAcentral's name for it is "partial 16S ribosomal RNA". It matches the Rfam family "Bacterial small subunit ribosomal RNA", at positions 28 to 507 of the family's 1533-position model. The record is from RNAcentral.
GACGAACGCUGGCGGCGUGCUUAACACAUGCAAGUCGAACGCUGAAGCACCAGCUUGCUGGUGUGGAUGAGUGGCGAACGGGUGAGUAAUACGUGAGUAACCUGCCCUUGACUCUGGGAUAAGCCCGGGAAACUGGGUCUAAUACUGGAUGCUACAUGUCACCGCAUGGUGGUGUGUGGAAAGGGUUUACUGGUCUUGGAUGGGCUCACGGCCUAUCAGCUUGUUGGUGAGGUAAUGGCUCACCAAGGCGACGACGGGUAGCCGGCCUGAGAGGGUGACCGGCCAAACUGGGACUGAGACACGGCCCAGACUCCUACGGGAGGCAGCAGUGGGGAAUAUUGCACAAUGGGCGAGAGCCUGAUGCAGCGACGCCGCGUGAGGGAUGACGGCCUUCGGGUUGUAAACCUCUUUCAGCAGGGAAGAAGCCACAAGUGACGGUACCUGCAGAAGAAGCGCCGGCUAACUACGUG